This 129-nucleotide small RNA is filed under the name Lingulaulax polyedra. RNAcentral describes it as "Lingulodinium polyedra partial Betaproteobacteria transfer-messenger RNA". The record is from RNAcentral. Lineage: Eukaryota; Dinophyceae; Gonyaulacales; Lingulodiniaceae.
CUGGAGGACCUGCGGCGAGAGGCUAGGGAAGCUGGCGGCGCGGCUCCUGGACGACCAGCCGCUGGAGGAGGUGCUGCCCCUCCUCCGCGCGACCGUCAAGGCCCUGCCCGCCUCGCUCCCCGUGGCCCA